CAACUUCCCUUUCAUAAAUGCACGCUUACCAAUAGGUACCAUACAAUUGAUUGAUAACUCUAAAGCCAAUGCAGUUCCAACAAGAAGCCCAGCUCCAAGUACAGAUACUAAUUGCAGUUUAUCCUAAAAGUUCGAGACGAAUCGUAGGUAUAAUUCUAUUGUCAUCAUCAUCGGAGUACCUUCACCCAUUGUAUGCACAACUUGAGGUUUGUGUUU
Molecule: long non-coding RNA, 216 nt
Organism: Polistes canadensis
Lineage: Eukaryota; Metazoa; Arthropoda; Insecta; Hymenoptera; Vespidae
Exons: 3
Source: RefSeq, a predicted model, not a curated record